GAUGAAGAACGUAGCGAAAUGCGAUACUUGGUGUGAAUUGCAGAAUCCCGUGAACCAUCGAGUCUUUGAACGCAAGUUGCGCCCGAAGCCAUUAGGCCGAGGGCACGCCUGCCUGGGUGUCACACGUCGUUGCCCCCCCAUCUACUCCUUCGGGAUUGCGGGGGGCGGAUGAUGGCCUCCCGUGCGCCUCGUCGCGCGGUUGGCAUAAAUGCCAAGUCCUCGGCGACGCACGCCACGACAAUCGGUGGUUGCGAAACCUCGGUUGCCCGUCGUGUGCGGUCGUCGCGCAUCGAGGGCUCGAAAAAAUUGCCGGGCUCCGGCUCGGCUUUCAACGCGACCCCAGGCCAGGCGGGGUUACCCGCUGAAUUUAAGCAUAUCAAUAAGCGGAGGA
Molecule: unclassified non-coding RNA, 391 nt
Filed under: soil metagenome
Description: partial contains 5.8S ribosomal RNA, internal transcribed spacer 2, and large subunit ribosomal RNA
Rfam family: 5.8S ribosomal RNA (bases 1-122)
Source: RNAcentral